GGCGAAGUGGCGCAAUGGUAGCGUGUGGUCCUCCUAUAGAGUGCUAAGACUGAGGUUGUGGGUUCGAGUCCCAUCUUCGUCG
This is a non-coding RNA of Coniochaeta pulveracea, 82 nucleotides long. The record is from the annotation of a GenBank genome assembly. NCBI's taxonomy places the organism in Eukaryota, Fungi, Ascomycota, Sordariomycetes, Coniochaetales, Coniochaetaceae.